RNAcentral lists this non-coding RNA (32 nucleotides) under Callithrix jacchus (white-tufted-ear marmoset). RNAcentral also lists the same sequence under 4 other names. Lineage: Eukaryota; Metazoa; Chordata; Mammalia; Primates; Cebidae. The record is from RNAcentral.
UUCCGUAGUGUAGUGGUUAUCACGUUCGCCUC